This 85-nucleotide transfer RNA is filed under the name Sebaldella termitidis ATCC 33386. It matches the Rfam family "tRNA". Rfam says of the family: Transfer RNA (tRNA) molecules are approximately 80 nucleotides in length. Their secondary structure includes four short double-helical elements and three loops (D, anti-codon, and T loops). Lineage: Bacteria; Fusobacteriati; Fusobacteriota; Fusobacteriia; Fusobacteriales; Leptotrichiaceae. The record is from Rfam by way of RNAcentral.
GGAAGAAUGUCCGAAUUGGCUAAGGAACCGGUCUUGAAAACCGGCGAAACCGCAAGGUGUCUGGGUUCGAGUCCCAGUUCUUCCG